CUGUGUCAAACAGAAAACGUUCCCAUGAAUUCCUCAACAGGCACUUACUGCAAGCAAUUGAUGAAAAUGAAAUAUUUAAUGGGGUUUUAUACCUGUGGACUUGGUGACACUGGUGCAUCUCAAAAGCCAAACUGUAAUGACAUCAGGAUGGAUGGUCAUGAGGCCAGCUUCAUGGAUGGUCACCUCACCAGCUUCAGUGGUGCUUCUCUUUUGGGGUAAGUAUUGGAUCUGGCCUGGGGGGUGUGGGAGUUGGUGGCAGCUGAGCUCUGGGAAGCUGUGGCUCCUCCUGACCCCAGAGUUUCCAGCUCUUCCUACUGAAGAUCCAGCAGUGCUGCCUGGGGUAAAGCUGAUGUUUCUCACUUGUCAGCAGCAUGUGACUGCAAUGCUCUCCAGAGAUCCAGCCAUGCCCACAGGCAGCUGUUCAUCUCAUCUGAGGCCUUUCCUCACUUGGCUUGGCUACAGAGUCCCUGCAAGUAGCAGGACCUCCUUGCCUGGUGGAAGCAGGCGGGACUGUUGUCCCACGGGUGUUGUCACAUCUCAGAGGAAUUUCCCACUGGGAUUUCUGUGGCACUUUCAACAGCAAGGGAAGGAACUGAGUGUGGAUUUUGCAAGGUGUCCACAGAUGCCCAGAAGCCAGCAUGGCCUCCAAAGGAAGCUGGAAAGGUUCUGCCAUCCCGGAGGAGACGUGGCUGGGGCUGUAAUCCAGCCCUGCAGUUUAUGUGCAGAAGGCCAUCCCUUUCACACACGAAGCACAGCGAGCCCAAACCAGAUCCCCGUUCUCCAUGGGGAUCAGCCCGCAGGGAUGAUGAGAGAAGCAGAGUGAGUCCCCAGCCCUCUCCAGAGCUGGACUGCAAAACCACAGGCUUCAGCAAAGCCCUUGGAGCCAGCCCACCUCCCAGCAGAGGGACUGUCCCUUUCUCUCAACUCAGGGCUGGAAAUAAUGACAGGAUACUCUUCUCUGCAGACCCGCCCGACAGAGAGCCGGGAGGGAUCCACUGUGAAGCCCCAAAACCGAUCUUGAGGAAGAAACACAGCUUGCCUCCCAUCCUCCACCCCUGCAAACCCAAGGGGAGGGACUGUCUGUGGAUGUCCCUUUGGGUCAGAAUCCUGCACAAGGCAGCACCCCUGGGUGCUCAGCAGUCUCUCUGAGGAGGUUCUGUUUAGGUUGGCUGCUGCUGAUCCCAGCCUGUCCUCAGCACACAGAUGCUUUUAACCUCUUGAGGAGGGGUCGGAGUGGCCAGCAGCUGCUGAGGACAUUGCCACAAUUCAGCCAUGUCCCUGCUCAGGGCAUGGACUGUAAACAAAGUAGGGAAUCCAGGCCAUAUCCCAGCCCAGCCUGGCUGCCUGCCUCAAGUUCCCUGUUGCCCAGAAUUUGGAGCUUGCCUCUUUUUCCAUUACCUCUAAGCAGAAAUGGUGAAUGUUUCGGUAAUGUUUCCUAAAAAUAAAAAUGUCAACGGA
Long non-coding RNA from Empidonax traillii (willow flycatcher), 1458 nucleotides. RefSeq lists it as uncharacterized. The transcript has 4 exons. The record is from RefSeq and is a predicted model, not a curated record. Lineage: Eukaryota; Metazoa; Chordata; Aves; Passeriformes; Tyrannidae.